UCCCCGACGUCACAAGUACACCUUCCUUCACGAGUUGAUCAUCUUCGUUGUCAUCAACUGUACUACAUAUAUUUGGCUCCCUCACCAUCUUCCAUCUCGUCUUCGUGAGUCUCGCGUUGAACAAGAUUGAUGGAUGGCUGAGUGGUUUGAAGGUUCAAUUAGAGUGGGGGAUGAGAUCAACUAUGCCUUCGAAGCAGAUGGGUGAAUGGUUUCCAUGCUAUGCUUGUCCAGUAAGCAGUCCUUUUGCAGGUUAAUCUCUCUUUCGUUGUCUGUUCGACCUUGAACGCACCAUGUUUAGGACUUGCAUAAAAACCCUAGUUUUGGAACCGAUUUUUCUUCCAUCAUGAGAAGUUCGUACUAAUUGAUUAGAUGUAAGUAAUCCCGACAACGUUUGUUGAUUCUAGCCUAAACUCAAAGCUAGUGAUAUAAACUGGUUGGUGCAUACGAGUCAGCGGUAGAAGAUGAACGUCGUCUUCCUCAGGGAUAUAGCCAGAUCUCCACGUCACUGCAAGAUAUAUUCUCGCACUAUAUCGCAACUCUUCAUGCUAUAUCAUUUUUUCCCUGGAUGGUUCUAGGAUGUUUAUCACUAGGAAGGGGCAAUCUAUAGUGAAGAAACUUCCUCUGGUCAGGCCUCAAAUAGGUUAAAUGCAAGGACGUAUAUUACCCAAAAAAAGAAAAAUACAAAUUGAAGGAAGUUUCCUCUAACUAUGGAGGAAACAUGGCCCGCUCCCGGCUCCAGAAUAUAGGUUUUUCCCAGUGAUGUUGGUCUCGAUCAGUUAGUUGGUCUCUUCUUUCUUUCCAGCCAAGAUCGGUUGGUCUUUGUCGAGGUAGAAAUGUUUUACAGUGAAAGAAAUGCCACAGAAUUGCACGGCUCACCUCAUUCAAGAUUCUUGAACGAGAAGGGAAACCCGAGCACAAAAGAGAUGAUGAAUGAACUGUGGUAGAAUAACCAGAACCUAGUUCAGCCUUUGGAUUGAUUAGGAUCGACCCUUAUAGGUCCUUUGAGUGCUUCAUGGGUUACAGGGGAAAACAAAAUUGAAAGCAACCAUGUUGUCUCAUAACACCCAAUUUUCAGGAAGGAAGAGGCUCUUUAGUACUCUUUGAGGCAUCCAGGAGGAGGAGAUACCGAAUCCUAGAGUGUAAUCACGACAUUUCAGGUGAUGGGACAAGAUCAAGAUAGACAAAAGAAGUCAUAAUGUCAAUGGAGCACAUAAAGAAAAAGAUUUAAGCAAUGACCCUUGGAAUCUUCCGAGUAGUAAAAUUAAAAGCAUGAGUGGAAUUAUAUGCUGGAAUGAGGGUAUACAAAAAGCCGGUCCGCUGGCUUUCUUUGGUUUUUUUUCGAGAUUCAACGGAUAUUCCAAUUUAGGAAAAUGACGAACAAGUAAGACGUUGUUGGAAACUCAGUUGGUGGCUGCCUUUUGAUUAUUCGUUUUAUAUGAUAAAUAUAAGGAGUGCUGUUCAUAAAGGUCCUUUACCUUUGUGCUAGUUCCUAUUAAGUUGUUAGUCUCGUUUAAGUCUAUAAAAGAAAGAGAAAAUGGAAAAGGGUCUUUACCAACAUACAGACGAGGAAAA
Long non-coding RNA from Rhodamnia argentea, 1572 nucleotides. RefSeq lists it as uncharacterized. NCBI's taxonomy places the organism in Eukaryota, Viridiplantae, Streptophyta, Magnoliopsida, Myrtales, Myrtaceae. The transcript is spliced from 2 exons. The record is from RefSeq and is a predicted model, not a curated record.